RNAcentral lists this long non-coding RNA (630 nucleotides) under Vulpes vulpes (red fox). RNAcentral describes it as "lncRNA (ENSVVUG00000021529.1)". The record is from RNAcentral. Lineage: Eukaryota; Metazoa; Chordata; Mammalia; Carnivora; Canidae.
CCCCCCCCGCCCCUUCCCGGGCCCACGGGUGCUCGCUCGCUCCCCUCCUCUCUCAUAAGUAAGCCUCUGGGACGCCGCUGGCUCGGGGGUGAAGCAUUCAGCUCGUGGACGCGGCACGAUCGGGGCCUGAGAUCGAGUCCGGCCUAGGGCUCCCUGCUUCUGCCCUUCUUCCUGCCCCUCCGUGCUCUGCUCUCUUUCAAAUAAAUAAAAUCUUAAAAAAAAACCUUUGAAAAAAAAAAAAGAAGAAAAUGAGUCAUUGUGGACCCUGAGGCCUACGUCAAUGGCUCCCGGUUGGUUUCCUAUUGUACUUCUCAUUAUGUUCCUCCAGUUUGGGUGGCUUUUCCUCAAGGAAGAAGAACGUGCGGAGUUUAGAAAGAAUAUUCUGAUACGGCCUAAGUCAUUGGACUCCUGGAAACUCCACCAACAGAACAGACUCCUGGAGAUUGAUGAUGGAAGAAGGCUCAGGGGAAUUUAAAGUUUCAAGACCUUCAGACUCAUCCAUGUCUGCAUUCUCUAGCCUGAGAUCCUGUUCCUUCUCCACUGGUGUCUUUAGCUAAAAAACCUGGGGCAUUGAGCAUUAAUUGGUGCUGAAAGUUAACCCUUACAAUAAAUUCUUAUCUAUGGUCCUCA